AAUUUUAAGGAAAUUUUGCUGUUUUUGGUUAUUAUCUUGAAUAUUAUUAUAGAUAGAGAUAAACUGUAAACAGCAAUAAUGUUCAGCAAAGUAAGAUUUACAAAUAAGUCAACAUGACCGAAAUGGUCAGUUGACCUCUUUAGGAGUUAUUGCCCUUUAUAGUCAAUUUUUAACCAUUUUUCGUAAAUCUUAGUAAUCUUUUACAAAAAUCUUCUCCUCUGAAACUACUGGACCAAAUUAAACCAAACUUGGCCACAAUUAUCAUUGGGGUAUCUAGUUUAAAAAAUGUGUCAGGUGACUUGGCCAACCAUCCAAGAUGGCUGCCAUGGCUAAAAAUAGAACAUAGGGGUAAAAUGCAGUUUUUGGCUUAUAACUCAAAAACCAAAGCAUUUAGAGCAAAUCUGACAUGGGGUAGAAUUGUUUAACAGGUGAAGAUCUAUCUGCCCUGAAAUUUUUAGAUGAAUUGGGUAACCCGUUGUUGGGUUGCUGCCUCUGAAUUAGUAAUUUUAAGGAAAUUCUGCUGUUUUUGGUUAUUAUCUUGAAUAUUAUUAUAGAUAGAGAUAAACUGUAAACAGCAAUAAUGUUCAGCAAAGUAAGAUUUACAAAUAAGUCAACAUGACCGAAAUGGUCAGUUGACCCCUUUAGGAGUUAUUGCCCUUUAUAGUCAAUUUUAAACCAUUUUUCGUAAAUCUCAGUAAUCUUUUACAAAAAUCUUCUCCUCUGAAACUACUGGGCC
This 736-nucleotide long non-coding RNA is filed under the name Mytilus galloprovincialis (Mediterranean mussel). Lineage: Eukaryota; Metazoa; Mollusca; Bivalvia; Mytilida; Mytilidae. The record is from RNAcentral.